Molecule: non-coding RNA, 352 nt
Organism: Pelodiscus sinensis (Chinese soft-shelled turtle)
Lineage: Eukaryota; Metazoa; Chordata; Testudines; Trionychidae
Source: RefSeq, a predicted model, not a curated record
GCCGGGUGCUCUCCCCUGCGUUCAGGGAGCCGCGUCCUGCACUCCACGGAGAAGCCGGAGGAGUCGUCGCUGCCCCGGCCCCCGCCAUCCCUGCCCCGCGACUUCCCUGCCUUGCGGUCGGAGAAGGGGGUCCCGGAUCGCUGCUCCACCAGCAUCGAUGCCGUCGCCCACAUCCGUGGGGAAACCUUCUUUUUCACAGGGCAGUACUUCUGGCGUCUGUCCCACGGCCGGCAUCUCACCUCCCUGCGCCCUGCCCUGAGUGCGGCUUUCUGGCGGGGCCUGCCCCGUAGCCUGGGCCAAGUGGACGCUGCUUACGAGAGGCACACGGACCAUCGGAUCCUCUUCUUCAGCG